Dreissena polymorpha is the source of this 733-nucleotide long non-coding RNA. RefSeq lists it as uncharacterized. The transcript has 3 exons. The record is from RefSeq and is a predicted model, not a curated record. Lineage: Eukaryota; Metazoa; Mollusca; Bivalvia; Myida; Dreissenidae.
UUAUGCCCCCCUUCGAAGAAGAGGGGGUAUAUUGCUUUGCACAUGUCGGUCGGUCGGUCUGUCGGUCGGUCCGUCCACCAGGUGGUUUCCGGAUGAUAACUCAAGAACGCUUAGGCCUAGGAUCAUGAAACUUCAUAGGUACAUUGAUCAUGACUCGCAGAUGACCCCUAUUGAUUUUGAGGUCACUAGGUCAAAGGUCAAGGUCACUGUGACCCGAAAUAGUAAAAUGGUUUCCGGAUGAUAAUUCAAGAACGCUUAUGCCUAGGAUCAUGAAACUUGAUAGGUAGAUUGAUCAUGACUCGCAGAUGACCCCUAUUGAUUUUCAGGUCACUAGGUCAAAGGUCAAGGUCACAGUGACCCGAAAUAUUAAAAUGGUUUCCGGAUGAUAACUCAAGAACGCUUAUGCCUAGGAUCAUGAAACUUGAUAGGUAGUUUGAUCAUGACUGGCAGAUGACCCCUAUUGAUUUUCAGGUCACUAGGUCAAAGGUCAAGGUCACGGUGACCCGAAAUAGUAAAAUGGUUUCCGGAUGAUAACUCAAGAACGCUUAUGCCUAGGAUCAUGAAACUUCAUAGGUACAUUGAUCAUGACUGGCAGAUGACCCCUAUUGAUUUUCAGGUCACUAGGUCAAAGGUCAAGGUCACAGUGACAAAACAACAUAUUUACAAAAUGGCUGUCACUACAACUGAGAGCCCAUAUGGGGGGCAUGCAUGUUUUACAAACAGCCCUUGUUUU